This 497-nucleotide ribosomal RNA is filed under the name uncultured bacterium. RNAcentral's name for it is "partial 16S ribosomal RNA". It matches the Rfam family "Bacterial small subunit ribosomal RNA", at positions 28 to 507 of the family's 1533-position model. The record is from RNAcentral.
GAUGAACGCUGGCGGCGUGCCUAAUACAUGCAAGUCGAGCGAACAGACGAGGAGCUUGCUCCUCUGACGUUAGCGGCGGACGGGUGAGUAACACGUGGAUAACCUACCUAUAAGACUGGGAUAACUUCGGGAAACCGGAGCUAAUACCGGAUAAUAUAUUGAACCGCAUGGUUCAAUAGUGAAAGACGGUUUUGCUGUCACUUAUAGAUGGAUCCGCGCCGCAUUAGCUAGUUGGUAAGGUAACGGCUUACCAAGGCGACGAUGCUUAGACGACCUGAGAGCGUGAUCGGCCACACUGGAACUGAGACACGGUCCAGACUCCUACGGGAGGCAGCAGUAGGGAAUCUUCCGCAAUGGGCGAAAGCCUGACGGAGCAACGCCGCGUGAGUGAUGAAGGUCUUCGGAUCGUAAAACUCUGUUAUUAGUGAAGAACAAAUGUGUAAUUAACUAUGCACGUCUUGACGGUACCUAAUCAGAAAGCCACGGCUAACUACGUG